This is a long non-coding RNA of Chelonia mydas (Green sea turtle), 304 nucleotides long. RefSeq lists it as uncharacterized. The record is from RefSeq and is a predicted model, not a curated record. Lineage: Eukaryota; Metazoa; Chordata; Testudines; Cheloniidae. The transcript is spliced from 3 exons.
CGCUAUACACAGAGCAAUGGACGUAGACCUUUUGGUAUUUCUGCCUUGAUUGUGGGCUUUGAUGAUGAUGGUGGUCCCAGAUUGUAUCAGACAGACCCAUCGGGUACAUAUCAUUCUUGGAAGGCAAAUGUAAUUGGUCGCAAUGCUAAAACUGCGUGAAUUUUUGGAGAAGAAUUACACAGAAGAAGCUAUAGCAACUGACAAAGACGCUAUCAAAUUAGCAAUAAGAGCUUUGCUAGAAGUUGUCCAAUCUGGUGGAAAAAACAUUGAACUUGCAAUAAUAAGGAGAAACCAACCACUGCAG